Molecule: ribosomal RNA, 303 nt
Filed under: uncultured bacterium
Lineage: Bacteria
Description: partial 16S ribosomal RNA
Rfam family: Bacterial small subunit ribosomal RNA
Source: RNAcentral
AGCAGUAGCCGCGGUAAUACGGAGGAGGCAAGCGUUAUCCGGAAUUAUUGGGCGUAAAGGGUACGUAGGUGGCCUUUUAAGCGUAGGGUAUAAGGCAAUGGCUCAACCAUUGUUCGCCCUAUGAACUGGAAGGCUUGAGUGCAGGAGAGGAAAGCGGAAUUCCUAGUGUAGCGGUGGAAUGCAUAGAUAUCAGGAGGAACAUCAGCGGCGAAGGCGGCUUUCUGGACUGCAACUGACACUGAGGUACGAAAGCGUGGGGAGCAAACAGGAUUAGAUACCCCCGUAGUCCCUGUCUCUUAUACA